AAAAGGUUAGUGUAAUUAAAGACUAGUCAAUAUUUCACAUUGCCUUUUGCCAUUUCCAUUAGAAACCACUUGACAACGAAUCAGAAACACGUUGGAGGCGUCAUUCAAAUGCCCGGGAACACAACUGGCUCCAAUUGAAUGCAGCAGCUUGGCACAUGCAUUGAUAGGAGAGUGGAUAGCUAUCAUACCAAGGCCAUAGACAAGGUCAAGGAUAGCAGGGUUUGGUACACGAAUCGGGUUCUCGGUAGGUCCAGGUCCAAACACCAACAGGUAAGUCCAAAACAGAACAGUCCAUACACGGUAAAUCCAGCCAAUAUCUAUUCUCUUUCUCUACAAUUCAUAGAUCCUUCCAGCCCUCCCUCUCCCUCUUCCUGGUUUUUCUUGACCCUUUAUCUCUGGGUCGACUCCACCUUCUGAGGGUUCCCCUUGCUUCUGAGACUUGUAGUUUUGGCGGUCGGCUAUUUUGUGAUCUGUAGUUCUGAUCGGGUGGCCAUUUUAGUGAUCGGGCAGAGCCCAUUUAUUAGUUCUGCUCUCACAUAUCUGCCAUUUAUCACUCGACCCCCUUCGUUGCCACACUUGCUAGCUAGGUAGUUUGUUGUAAGCCAAUCCCGCCUGAUAACAUGUGUUUUUCUCUCUUUCUACUUCAACAGUUCCUUGAAUUAGAAUUGAGGAAAUUCCCUGCAAUCCUCAAACUGGAGUAAGAUUCAUAGCUAAGCUUAGUUUAGCAUUCUGAGUAGCUUAACAUGGAAGUACAAAGAAAUUAUCGCUGUUGUCCCUUCAGUAGUUAAUUGGAACCUAGAUUAAAAUCUACCAGCUACUUCUUUUUCUUUGUUACAGGUAAGUCAAAUAUAGAGAAACUGGGAACAUAAUCAGGUCUUUCCAAAGAAUUGGCAUGUUUUCCCUGUGGCCUCACUGUUAAAACAUUACGAGGUUAUGUGGAUCAUCAGUAAUUACACCGAUAUGAAGCAAAUGGCCAAUAUGUAUGCUGCAUGGUUAGCUGCAAAUCUCAUUUUACAAAACAAUGCUUUUAAAAGUCAUAUGCGUCGUCAUCAUCAUAGAGUCUGCUGCAUCACAAUGUGACACAAUGCAAGGGCCGUUUACGUGGGGAAAUCGUCAUUGUCAGAAACAAUGCCUUGAUCUGAAGGAUCUUCUAGCUCGUCUAAGGUCACGUGUUUCAUAAAGAGAAAAGGUCAAAUGCCCAUUCAGACUGUGGCCUUUACAUUAAGAUCCUCUUUUACCGCCCACAUUUCAAGGCAGCAUAGGUAUGCUACAGCUGCACAUGUCCAAUUAUUCGGUUCAGUCAGUGAGUUCUCAUGAUGAUGCUGAAAGUCUGUUUGGUGUAGAUCUUAUUUAUGAAGGGCUAGAGGAUAUACUAAACCCAGCUGUUAUGAUAAGUCUGUAUAUAAAACAUCUGUGUAUGUUUUACAGGCCAAGAAUCUAAUUCCCUCCUCUACAAUACAAAUGAUUGUUGAUGAGAUUAAUAGUCUUAAUGGACUUAGUCAUCAGUACACUCAAGAUCAACUCAAGGUUGCCCUUCAGUCUAAUACUAACUUGAAAGAGUCUGAAUUUGAAGGUGUUUUAUAGACCUUGAAGGACACAGAUUUGCAUGCAUCCUGUGGCUCUACUUUAUCAACUGAAUAUUUGAGAAGGUGGUAUUUCCUGAGGAACUUUUCCUAUGUGUAUACUCAACCUAUAAGUUUAGGUACAGAUGAAAACCGAAAUAAACAAUAUGCUCAGUGUAUCCAUAUAACAGAGGCAUUGAAAGCUAUGCUCAAGGAUCCAGUUGUUUGGCAGGAAUGUACAAAGACAAUAAAGGACACCACAUGUACUUCUGCACAUGAGUUGAAUUAUGUUUGUGACAGAUCUGUGUUCAAGUCUAAUGCUGUAUUUAUGAACUCAGGUGCAAAUCUAAAGCUUGUAUUGUAUCAAGAUGCUUUUGAGGUUGUUAUUAACCUCUAGUUGCAAGGCAGUAUCGACAGCAGUAGUUGGAGGUACUAACAUUUUCUGUGAAUCCUCCUAUGUUGUGAGACCCAAAAUUAUCAUCAGUAAUGCAAAAGACUGCUGCCUUUACAGCAUGUCCAGAUAUCUCCAAUCCAUUUGUUUCUAAAUCUCUGAGAUCCGACAGCAUUAUAGAAAAAAAGCUUGUCAUGGCCAAAAUAUUUAAAGUCUCUCUCAUUACACAAUAACAUGAGCUGUAAAUGAUCAAUAUUGGAGCGAUAAAAUGGAUCAAAGUUUGCGGGCAUAAAGUAGACACCCACAAUCUUAUGUUUCGUCUUUGCUGGUCCAAGAGGGUUAACUGUUUGAUUUUGAUGAACCUGCUGCUGCCACAACAGUACAAAAUGACAAGGAGGCAGUGAUGGCAAUGAGACGGAAUCCAGAGGGUUAAAAUUUGACACUGUAUUUAAUUCCCUCAAGCACUUUCAUGUCUGUCAGCCAGGCCUCCCACCAUGCAUUGGUCAUGAUUUGUUUAAGGGGAUAGUGGUACAUGACCUAGACAUUUAUAUAAUGUACUUUGUUAAAGUAAAGAAAUGCAUUACAUACUCAGAGCUUAACUGCAGGAUCAGGCAGUUUAGCUACCAAGGAUCUGAUGUGAAUUCCACAUCCUCAGAAGUUGGUGAAAAGGGAAUUAAACUUGGUGGCCGGGCAACAGAAAACUGGUCUCUUUUGAGGCUCCUCCCUGUGAUAAUAGGCAAAAGAUUACUGAUAUAAAAGACAGGGUAUGGCAACUAACAAUCCUACUUAAGGAACUUUUGGAAUUAAUCUGUGUCCUGUCCAUUUCUGUGGCUCAAGUUACUUUGCUCAAUGUUCUGAUUCCUGAGUAUCUAAAGAAUAGCAAAGAGCUGUUUCCUUCUCACACACUGAAAUCAGAGAUGUGGCCAGAGAGUGAAACAUUUCAAAAAUGUGGAUUUCUGCAUAAAUUGGUCAUAAAAUUUCAUCUGAUCUUCAUCUAAGUCACAACAACAAACAGCCUGCUUAUUGAACUAAUAACAAAUUAUUGUAUUUUUUUUGUCUAUACUGAAUAAUUAUGUUAUAGCACAGCUGAAAACUGUUGUUCUGAUUAAUUAAAGCAACGAUAAACUGGCCUUUAGACUAGUUGAGUAUCUGGAGCAUCAACAUUUGUGGGUUCGAUUACAGGCUCAAAAUGGCCAGAAACAAAUAACUUUAUUCUGAAAUUCGCCAGUCUAUUCUUGUUCUGAGAAAUGAAGGCUAUUCCAUGUGAGAAAUUGCCAAGAAACUGAAGAUCUCGUACAACGCUGUGUACUACUCCCUUCACAGAAUUGCGAAAACUGUCUCUAACCAGAAUAGAAAGAGGAGUGAGGGGCCCCGGUGCACAACUGAGCAAGAGGACAAGUACAUUAGUGUCUAGUUUGAGAAACAGACGCCUCAGAAGUCCUGAAAUGGCAGCUUCAUUAAAUAGUACUCACAAAACACCAGUCUCAACUUCAACAGUGAAUAUUAUGAUAAUAAUCUGGUUUUUUUUAGCUUUAUUUUGUCAUCAAUUAAGGAGUAGCUGUCAAAUUCUCUAUUUUCACAAAUGACACCAGUUGAAUUGAGAGGAGUUUUUUGUAAUAUAGUGACAAUUAUGUGUUCUAGCUAUAUUUUGGCAUCAAUUAAGGAGUAAUGUCUGUUUUUUGCUUAACAAUUCUCUAGUUUCACAAUUGAUGCCAUUUAGAUCAAGAGUAGGUUUUGUAAUAUGACAAUUAUCUUGUGUUUUUGUGUGACUUUGGCAUCAAAUUCAGGAGUCAUUUCUGGGUUUAUGCUGUCUAUUUCUCUAUUUUCACAACUGAUACCAGUUCAAAUUUGGAAGUUUUUUGUAAUAUUAUGUUUAUAAUCUGUGUUCUUUUGUCAUCAUAUUUUGUCAUCAAU
Molecule: long non-coding RNA, 3867 nt
Organism: Oncorhynchus tshawytscha (Chinook salmon)
Lineage: Eukaryota; Metazoa; Chordata; Actinopteri; Salmoniformes; Salmonidae
Source: Ensembl